GCGCCCGUAGCUCAUCUGGAUAGAGCAAUAGCCUUCUAAGCUAUGGGUAACAGGUUCGAGUCCUGUCGGGCGUACUA
RNAcentral lists this transfer RNA (77 nucleotides) under Kapaibacterium sp. (SeqCode). RNAcentral describes it as "Candidatus Kapabacteria bacterium (microbial mat metagenome) tRNA-Arg". It matches the Rfam family "tRNA". From Rfam's summary of the family: Transfer RNA (tRNA) molecules are approximately 80 nucleotides in length. Their secondary structure includes four short double-helical elements and three loops (D, anti-codon, and T loops). The record is from RNAcentral. Lineage: Bacteria; Pseudomonadati; Bacteroidota; Eximiradiia; Eximiradiales; Kapaibacteriaceae (SeqCode).